UUGAAAAGGUGGGUUUAAAGAGAGAGAGGCAGAGAAAUAGGGAGAGAAAAGAGAGACCCAGAUGGGUAUUUGGAUUUGGAGAAGCCAUGGAAUUGGAAUUGGAAUUGGAAUUGGAAUUGGUGAGGUUUUGAUUGAGAAAGUGUGAGGGUUUAUAGAGAGAGAUACAAAGACGGAGAGAAACGGGAGCUGGAUGCCGUUGUUUUGUCUGGUUUUAGAUUUCC
RNAcentral lists this unclassified non-coding RNA (221 nucleotides) under Hevea brasiliensis (rubber tree). The record is from RNAcentral. Lineage: Eukaryota; Viridiplantae; Streptophyta; Magnoliopsida; Malpighiales; Euphorbiaceae.